GUGGGGUUUUUCCCCACCCGUGGACAGGUUUCAUUCUCGCAUGGAGUGGUCUGAUGCUCCUCAGCCCGUGAAACGGUGACAGGCUGUGUAGGUUUUUCUUGUUUCCAGGUCUUGUUUUGAAUUGACUUUCAUGCAAUUGUUCUUUGUUUUUCCCAGGAAGAUUACACCUGGUGCCCGGACUGGACGGGGAAGCGCCUGCACCGUCCGUGGAGCACAUCCAGUGCCAGCGCUACCCCAGGGGCCACGGCCUGUGGGGACAUCCCCUUCAAGAAGGACGAGGACCUCGUGUGGGAUCAGCUCCUCUCCUGGCAGCAGGUCUGCAGAGGCUGCCAGCACCUCAUGCCAUGGAAACGGCUCCGCUCGGCCUGCCAGGCUGGGAGGGCUGGAGGGCGGCGGGUGUUCAUUUGCUGUCAAAAAGAAAUCGUUCUAUUUUUUUGUCA
Vidua chalybeata is the source of this 440-nucleotide long non-coding RNA. RefSeq lists it as uncharacterized. The transcript is spliced from 2 exons. NCBI's taxonomy places the organism in Eukaryota, Metazoa, Chordata, Aves, Passeriformes, Viduidae. The record is from RefSeq and is a predicted model, not a curated record.